AUUGAACGCUGGCGGCAUGCCUUACACAUGCAAGUCGAACGGCAGCACGGGAGCAAUCCUGGUGGCGAGUGGCGAACGGGUGAGUAAUACAUCGGAACGUGCCCAGUAGUGGGGGAUAGCCCGGCGAAAGCCGGAUUAAUACCGCAUACGACCUAUGGGUGAAAGCGGGGGAUCGCAAGACCUCGCGCUAUUGGAGCGGCCGAUGUCAGAUUAGGUUGUGGUGGGGUAAAGGCCUACCAAGCCGACGAUCUGUAGCUGGUCUGAGAGGACGACCAGCCACACUGGGACUGAGACACGGCCCAGACUCCUACGGAGGCAGCAGUGGGGAAUUUUGGACAAUGGGGGCAACCCUGAUCCAGCCAUGCCGCGUGCGGGAAGAAGGCCUCGG
This 388-nucleotide ribosomal RNA is filed under the name uncultured bacterium. Its description in RNAcentral is "bacterial SSU rRNA". It matches the Rfam family "Bacterial small subunit ribosomal RNA", at positions 29 to 420 of the family's 1533-position model. The record is from RNAcentral.